UACGUAGGGUCCAAGCGUUAUCCGGAUUUACUGGGCGUAAAGUGUGCGCAGGCGGCCGAGCAAGUCGAGUGUGAAAGCCCCGAGCUUAACUUGGGAACUGCGCUCGAAACUACUUGGCUAGAGUGUGGCAGAGGGAGGUGGAAUUCCACGUGUAGCGGUGAAAUGCGUAGAGAUGUGGAGGAACACCGAUGGCGAAGGCAGCCUCCUGGGCCAACACUGACGCUCAUGCACGAAAGCGUGGGGAGCAAACAGG
This 253-nucleotide ribosomal RNA is filed under the name uncultured bacterium. RNAcentral's name for it is "partial 16S ribosomal RNA". It matches the Rfam family "Bacterial small subunit ribosomal RNA", at positions 524 to 776 of the family's 1533-position model. The record is from RNAcentral.